GUCUUUUUGAAAAUAAUUUAAAGUCAAAUCUGCCCACUGAAUUUAUUUAAAGGGCUGCAGUAUAUUGACUGUACAAAGGUAGCAUAAUCAUUAGUCUUUUAAUUGAAGACUUGUAUGAAUGAUUUGAUGAGAUAUAAACUGUCUCUUUAUUAAUAAAUAGAAUUUAAUUUUUUAGUUAAAAAGCUAAAAUAAUUAUAAAAGACGAGAAGACCCUAUAGAGUUUUAUAUUUUUAUAAAUUUAAAUUUAUAUAUUUAAAAUUUAAAUUUAUAAAAAUAUUUUAUUGGGGUGAUGGAAAAAUUUAUGAAACUUUUUUUAAAAAUUAAACAUUUAUAUAUGAAUAUAUGAUCCAUAAUUUAUGAUUAUAAGAAUAAAUUACCUUAGGGAUAACAGCGUAAUUUUUUUUUUUAGUUCGUAUAAAAAUUAAAGUUUGCGACCUCGAUGUUGGAUUAAGAUAAAAUUUAAAUGCAAAAGUUUAAAAUUUUGAUCUGUUCGAUCAUUAAAAUCUUACA
This 510-nucleotide ribosomal RNA is filed under the name Colotis celimene. RNAcentral describes it as "partial 16S ribosomal RNA". The stretch from base 384 to 510 matches the Rfam family "Bacterial large subunit ribosomal RNA", at positions 2473 to 2600 of the family's 2925-position model. Lineage: Eukaryota; Metazoa; Arthropoda; Insecta; Lepidoptera; Pieridae. The record is from RNAcentral.